AACGAACGCUGGCGGCAUGCCUAACACAUGCAAGUCGAACGAGACCUUCGGGUCUAGUGGCGCACGGGUGCGUAACGCGUGGGAACCUGCCCUUAGGUUCGGAAUAACUCCCCGAAAGGGGUGCUAAUACCGGAUAAUGUCUUCGGACCAAAGAUUUAUCGCCUUUGGAUGGGCCCGCGUUGGAUUAGCUAGUUGGUAGGGUAAAAGCCUACCAAGGCGACGAUCCAUAGCUGGUCUGAGAGGAUGAUCAGCCACACUGGGACUGAGACACGGCCCAGACUCCUACGGGAGGCAGCAGUGGGGAAUAUUGGACAAUGGGCGAAAGCCUGAUCCAGCAAUGCCGCGUGAGUGAUGAAGGCCUUAGGGUUGUAAAGCUCUUUUACCCGGGAUGAUAAUGACAGGACCGGGAGAAUAAGCUCCGGCUAACUCCG
This 431-nucleotide ribosomal RNA is filed under the name uncultured bacterium. RNAcentral describes it as "partial 16S ribosomal RNA". It matches the Rfam family "Bacterial small subunit ribosomal RNA", at positions 29 to 505 of the family's 1533-position model. The record is from RNAcentral.